UUUCACAUUUAUAAUAUUAGUAUGAUUUAUACAGGAAUUGAUAAACGACGACAUAGUAGACGAGGCGGAAAAUUCUCAGAGUGAUGGAGAGAAGAAUUCACCAAGUGAUACUGAAGAGGAAUCGACCACCAAAGCGGAGGGAGCUGGAGAUGACAAGCCCAGCGAGGUGCGCAAGCGUCGCCCGCGCAAAGCUGACUAAACACCCCCUAAACAUCCCCCCACCACUCCCCAUUGUAGCCCAACAAUCCGCCAUACAUGAAAUAUACAGUGGGUAACAGCUGAAACACUAAUAAAUCAACCCCUUCCUAAACAUAAUCUAUUCCCGAAUCAUACAAUCCCCCCUCUCCCUAAUCACAAUCCCCCAAUUUCACAAUCACCCCUCCAGAAUUACAAUCACCCCAUCCCCUAAAAUCUUGCACUUACCCUCUGGGGUCUAGGAAAAAUGUAUUAACCCUUCAAUACCUACCCCACCCUAGACCUCCCCCACAU
Long non-coding RNA from Papilio polytes (common Mormon), 489 nucleotides. RefSeq lists it as uncharacterized. The record is from RefSeq and is a predicted model, not a curated record. The transcript has 2 exons. Lineage: Eukaryota; Metazoa; Arthropoda; Insecta; Lepidoptera; Papilionidae.